Molecule: long non-coding RNA, 4446 nt
Organism: Equus quagga
Lineage: Eukaryota; Metazoa; Chordata; Mammalia; Perissodactyla; Equidae
Exons: 5
Source: RefSeq, a predicted model, not a curated record
UCUCUGCAAAGGCAGGAAGAAACUAAGCAGGUGUUGAGGGCCUGAUUCUCCUGGGGAAUACACUGGAGCAAUGUUGGUUCGAGACCAGAAAUGAUGUAAUCGGGUCACUGGCAACAAAAACGAAGACGAGGAAAACUCCAGGGUUCUGUAUCUCGGGUGUGAAGAUUGAGAUAUAACACCAUGGCCAGUGAGGGGGUAGUAAAGGAUGCCUCGUCUAAGAGAACAGCUUCCAGAUUUGAACGAGACUCCGGAACUACUACAGCCAUCUUGCUACCAUCCCGAUGAUGCAACCAACCCAAAGCAGAGAGCAGAGCCAAAGGAACUGCAGAAAAGCAGUACCAGGAUAUAUUGUGGAUGGAGUCUAAUCUACAUCUAAACUUCUUAUUAUGAAUCCAAGCAGGGUUCUGCUAGGUGGUUCAUCUGUUCCAUCAACUAAGGUCAUUCAGUGACAUGCAGCUGGCUAAUGGGAUGAUCUGAAGAGUCAAAGAUGGCUUCCCUCACAUAUUUGGCAUCUUGGUGGUGAUGGCUGGAAGUCUAGGCUCACCUGGCACCUUCAACCAGAGGACGUACUUGUGGCCUCUCCAGCAUGGCCGUCUCAAGACAGGAAUGCCUUACCUUGACUGUCUGGAGCCAGGAAAAAGGGAAGCAACCUUAUAUGAGGAAGGAGAACGCCAUGGCGGUGGUUGUAAAGUCGUGUUUGGAAGCUAGAUUUCUCUAGACCACUAAGGUACCCACUGAGAGUCUUCUGUGUGCCAGAUACUGUGCCAGCCAUCCUCAUGGGUUAACUCCUGAUUGUUCAUGUGCUAAUGACACCCAGCUCUCUGAAGGCCACACCUCUCCCUUCAGAUUCACACUUGUACAUUCCUAUGGUAGAUAUUUUAUAAAUAGUUCCAGAAUGAAUGGAUAAGUGAAUGAAUGCUUUUCCCCUGAAGUUCCAAGUGCAACAUAUCUAACAAUGAAAUCCUCUUUCAGCCUGAUCCUAUUCCUAUUUGUACUUGGUAAUACCCUCAAAGAUAAAAACCUCAGGGUCAUCCUUGCCUUGUCGCUCUUGUCUCCUUCACAUGAAGUUUCACUGAUUUUGACAUGAUAUUUCUUAAGUCUAUCCUCUUCUCCCCGAUCUCCACUCUUCCUCCCCUAACUCAGACCCAUAUCACCUUCUGCUUGGAUGCUGCCACAGCCUCCCAACUGGUCUGCCUGCCUCUAAGUGUGUCCACAUAGCUGUCACGCUCUCCUGCUUCAGUGGCUCUCCAUUGCCUAUUGAACAAAGCUCACGCUCCUUAACACACUAAAUAAAGUUCCCUGUGUCCUAGUCUCUGCCUUCCUUUCCAGCCUCACCUUGAGAAUGACUUGCCCUGAAUGUUGGUGUUUUCCUGCACACAGCCACAGGUUCAUGCCACCAUGGCUUUGCUCAUGCUCUACUCUAUGUUUGGAAUAUGGCCCACCCUGUAAUCCCAUUUGAAUACAUCAGUGUGAGCGUCAGCUGAGGCGCUGGAUCCUCUAGGAAGCCUUGUUGACCCUCUUCAGGCUGAGCUGCCCUCUAGUCAGCUCAAUAGCACACUAGGCAUCCCUCUAUCCUUGCAUUAUAAAGACCAGGUCCUCUUGCUAUCACCUGGACUCCCAUGUGAAUUCCUUGAAGAUGUGGGCUUAUCUUGUUCAUCCUUGAUUCCCCAGUGCCUAGCCAGCACCUUAAACGUAGUAGGACUUCAAAUAAAUGUCCGUUGAAGGAGUAUUUCUUCUUAAGUAGAACAGAUAUUUUAGCCUUGGUAGCUUUCACAGUGUGAAAAGAGUACCCUCUAAAAUACUAAAAGCUAAAGGAUAUUGACCAAGACUGAGAUAUAGAAGGUUACCAGCAGAAACUUGGAGGUAAUCUAAUUUGCAUUUUCUGGCCCAAAAGAUUAACUCUCAAGACCAAAGGCAAAUGCUAAUGACCCUAAAAUAUAUGCUGGUCUGAUACCAGGGAUGAGAAGAAUGACUAAUAAAAAAACAGGUAUUUCUCUAGCUUAACAGUUUUUUUACUUACAGUCAGAUCUUCUAAGCCUUAUCCUGAAUUUUCAGACUAAUGUUUUCUGAAUUAAUUUGGAAUAUUUAUAGAUUGUCAACCAGUCAGAGCAGAGUGAGCUGGGAGAGAAGAGUAGGAAAUGAGAUGAGAAGAGGUAUCUUGGGUCAGAUCACACUUUUGCUUUUGCUUUGGUAAGAUGGAAAACCAUCGAAGGCUGUUGAUCAGAGGAGUGACAUGAUGUAAUUUAAUGUUCUGAUAGAAUCAUUCUGGCUGCUUAGAGGAGACUUAACUAGGCAGUGUGGGCAGAAGUCAAGAGACCAGUUAGGAGGCUGCUGCAAUAGUGUAGGCGAAAGAUAAUGGCAGCUUGGACCAGGGUGGUAGCAGAGGAGGUAAAAAAGUUGUCAGAUUAUAGGUAUAUAUUGAAGACUCCACCAAAAGAAUUUGCUGGUGAUUGGAUGUAGAUUGUGGAGAGCGAAGAAAAUGACGAGUCUAAGGGAUUUUGGCUUGAACACCUUCAAGGAUGGACUUGUCACUGGGAAGAGCAGUUUUGGGGGGAAAUCAGGAGUUCAGUUCUGGUCCCUUUUUAAGUCUAAGAUGCCUAUUUAGAUAUACAAGUAGAGUGUUGCAUAGUCAAGUUGUGGAUACCUGUCUGGAGUCCAGAAGAGAGUUCAAAGCUAGAGUAGAUUUUGGAGGUUGUUAGCAUGCUGAUAGUAUAUGCAGCCAUGAGUUAGGCUAGGGUCAUCUAGCAGGUCUGUGUGAAUAGAGGUUUGAAAACGAACCUGGGACAGUCCAGUAUUCAGAGGUUGGGAAAAUAAAGAGGCAGCAGCAAAAGAAACUGAGGAGGGACGAAUGAGAAAGGAGACCCAAGAGGCAGUGAGUGGGUGGUGACUCAGAGGCCAAGUGAAGAGAGAUUAUUGUGCUGGAGUAAGAAAGAAGCUACCAAAUUCUAAUUUACCCCAAGUCUUAGUGGAUAGUAUAUUUCUGUGUGUGUAUAAUUUUUUUGGCCUGGGGGCACCCAGCUACCAUAUUUUCUCUUUGCUCCCAUGCCCUAGAAAUUCUGAGUCCAUGCGGACCGGGACUUCACUUCUGGGUGUGUGUGGUUGAGAAUUUGACGAGUUCUCAUUUCCUCUUGUGGCAGCUGCAGGAUGAGUUCCCCUUCCUCUCUGCACUUCUAAGGAAAGCCUGAAGCACUAAACAUCAGCCAGGGCUGCCCAUUCGUAAAUUCAUUCAUUCACUCACUCAUUCACCAGAUAGUUACUUGGAAUUUACAAAGUGCAGUUGCCUUCCUAGCACUGAGGAUAAAGCCAUGAACUACGCAGUCCCAGCAGCAUCCUUGCCAACAGGGAGCUUACAUUCCAGUGGAAUUGGGGGAGAGGUGGAAGAGGGAGACAAUGUGUGUGUGGGGACAACAACCAAGCAAAAUAACUUCAAACUGUUGUGCAUGCACUGGAGAAAACAAUCGGGAGUCUAAGAUAUAGAAUAACAAUGGAGACUAAGAGGGAGGACCCCUUUCAAAUGGGAGGGCAGAGAAGCUUCUCUGGAGGGUUAGAUCCAGAUGUCUCCAAAGUAACCAGCAAAUCUUUUUCUGUUUAGAGUCCGGAAUUGAACCUGUGUUCCCAGUUCCUGGAACCCCCCUGAGGCUCUUGGUUUCCUCCUGGUUUAUCAGAACAAUGGAGGAAACUUGCCUCCAGUUCUAUCUUCAUGUGAGCACCUACCUUUACAAUUUACAGUACUACUUUAAAAAAUAAGUUCUUUUACAAUUUUAUCCAACAUCAGCCAGAGGAAACAAAAGAUUAUAAAAAUGGAAUUUAUCAAAGUUCACCUUCCAACAAAGUAGUUAGUUACCAUUUAACUUAGCGAACUUUUUUUGAACACUUACUACAGUGCAAACACUGAUCUACUAAGCAUUUUAUGUGCAUCCUAUCCUUUAAUCUUCACAACAGCCCUGUGAGGUAGGUACUGUAGUCAUCCUUAUUUUACAUUUAAAAAACCUGAGGCUUAGAGAGAUUGACUGUCCAGGCAGAGCAAGUGGAAGAGCAGUGGUUAAAAUCCAUAUCUAUCUAAUGCUCAAGAUUUUGCUUUUAGUGUUACUUUGAAAAAGGCAAUUUGAGGACAUUCUUAACUAUGUCUUUUAAGUACUGCAGUCCUUAUCUUCACCAAAUUAUUGUCAGAUAAGAAACUAAAAUACAAGUUUGCAGAUGCUAAGAUUUCUCCACAGUUGAAUAAUCUUUGGGGUAUUUGAGUGACAAACCUGUUUUAAUGAUGGUAGUCAAAUCCUGUCCUAAAGAGAAAGUGUAUUGGUUUGUGAUUGCAAGUUUAAAAACAGCCCAACAUCAUCUUUCAGGAAUGCUAUAAAAAGAAAUUCAAGGCAGUAUUUCUUUUUUUUUUUAACUUUUUUGUUUUGCUUUUUCUCCCCAAAUCCCCCCAGUACAUAGUUGUAUAUACAU